Molecule: long non-coding RNA, 871 nt
Filed under: Mytilus galloprovincialis (Mediterranean mussel)
Lineage: Eukaryota; Metazoa; Mollusca; Bivalvia; Mytilida; Mytilidae
Source: RNAcentral
CUUAUGAAAAACCCUCGGGGGGGCCACUUCAAACUUUUUUUGGUAGGGGUGAGCAGCUGAGACAUCAAGUACCCCAGCCUUUUCAUAUAUUUUGUUAAUCAAAAAUAUAUACCUUUUCAUAUAUUAAUUAACAAAAAACAGACCUAUAGAUAUAUUUCAAUAUUUUCCCCGCUCAUCAUCUUGUUAAGAAGCAAAAUAGUCGCAACAAUAUCACCUUCUUUUCCAAUAAAUUCGUUUACAUCUUAAACACUUUUUUGUUAUUGCCCAUUUUACAUCUUUCAUUAUGAAGAUAUUUCAAUUCCAAAAUACAAUACAUAUAAAAGACGUUUGGUCAGAUCAUAGAUGGUAUUAACAUAUGUGGUCAGACAAAUGUAAUAUCACCCCAGAGUGUAACACCUUCACUGAUUUUAACAUGUUUAAAUAUUAAUUAAAAACUGAUAAAAAGUUUCAUUGCCGUUCCCUCUUAAAGGACGCUGUCACAAUGGAAUUUCUUUAAAUAAUUGUUAUCAUGUUUUAUGUAUACAAACCCUUGAAUGUUAAUUAGGUGCAAAUGUCAAAAUAGUUGGAUUUAUUGCAUCUAUCACUGGCAUCAGUGGAAAUACCACAUCAGAAUAAAUAGAGUUUAAUUGGUUUGACAAAUAACUGAUGCAUUUACAACUGUGGUUUAACCCCAUCAAGAAUAAAUACCGACAUCUGAUUAGUUUCAGAUACUUAUGAUAUAAUCAAGCAAGUGAUAAUAUCAACCUAUUGAUAUAUUUAAUCUGAAUUUCUCACCCUUUUCAUAUAUCAUAGAGCAUGAAAAAGUGACCUAUUCCAGCGGCUCAUCCCUACCACUAAUUAUAUAGCAAGUGGCCCCCCCGAGGAAAAACCA